Long non-coding RNA from Sycon ciliatum, 421 nucleotides. RefSeq lists it as uncharacterized. The record is from RefSeq and is a predicted model, not a curated record. Lineage: Eukaryota; Metazoa; Porifera; Calcarea; Leucosolenida; Sycettidae. The transcript is spliced from 2 exons.
ACAUUCUCAGUCGUUAUUUUCCUGAGAGCGACGAAGAGAAUCGCUAGUCCGUGCUUGUAUUCCAAAGAACGAUCCUUCUUCUAGACACAUUUUCGAUAUCCAGGAUGGCUUCCAACACACCCUCCACAAGCAAAAAACAUGAAAGUUUCACCACCCGUUCAUUGCGUGGCAGACCCGUUGCGGAAGUCCCUGGCAUUGGGGGUCCACUCGGCGGCUAACUCACCGCGCAGGGCUUCGCCACGGCCGAAACGGUAUACGGGCAGUUUCUGGUUCUCGGGCAGGACGAAGUGAAAUUUCGCGCCUGGUUGAAUGACAAGUGUAAUGCAAAUAAAAAGUAGGCCGGGGACUGUUUCAACGCUCUUAAAGGGGAAGUUAAGGCAAAAAUUAAAAUUUCACCAGUUGUAGUCUUCGGGGUGCUGAG